UACGAAGGGGGCUAGCGUUGCUCGGAAUCACUGGGCGUAAAGGGCGCGUAGGCGGUCAGCACAAGUCAGUUGUGAAAUCUCCGGGCUUAACUCGGAAAGGUCAACUGAUACUGUGCGACUAGAGUGCAGAAGGGGCAACUGGAAUUCUCGGUGUAGCGGUGAAAUGCGUAGAUAUCGAGAGGAACACCUGCGGCGAAGGCGGGUUGCUGGGCAUUAACUGACGCUGAGGAGCGAAAGCAUGGGGAGCGAACAGG
Molecule: ribosomal RNA, 254 nt
Filed under: uncultured bacterium
Lineage: Bacteria
Description: partial 16S ribosomal RNA
Rfam family: Bacterial small subunit ribosomal RNA
Source: RNAcentral